GAAUUACUGGGCGUAAAGCGCACGCAGGCGGUCUGUCAAGUCGGAUGUGAAAUCCCCGGGCUCAACCUGGGAACUGCAUUCGAAACUGGCAGGCUUGAGUCUUGUAGAGGGGGGUAGAAUUCCAGGUGUAGCGGUGAAAUGCGUAGAGAUCUGGAGGAAUACCGGUGGCGAAGGCGGCCCCCUGGACAAAGACUGACGCUCAGGUGCGAAAGCGUGGGGAGCAAACAGGAUUAGAUACCCUGGUAGUCCACGCCGUAAACGAUGUCUACUUGGAGGUUGUGCCCUUGAGGCGUGGCUUCCGGAGCUAACGCGUUAAGUAGACCGCCUGGGGAGUACGGCCGCAAGGUUAAAACUCAAAUGAAUUGACGGGGGCCCGCACAAGCGGUGGAGCAUGUGGUUUAAUUCGAUGCAACGCGAAGAACCUUAC
This 427-nucleotide ribosomal RNA is filed under the name Salmonella enterica subsp. enterica serovar Typhimurium. RNAcentral describes it as "bacterial SSU rRNA". It matches the Rfam family "Bacterial small subunit ribosomal RNA", at positions 548 to 974 of the family's 1533-position model. Lineage: Bacteria; Pseudomonadati; Pseudomonadota; Gammaproteobacteria; Enterobacterales; Enterobacteriaceae. The record is from RNAcentral. RNAcentral also lists the same sequence under 1 other name.